Molecule: non-coding RNA, 54 nt
Organism: Salmo salar (Atlantic salmon)
Lineage: Eukaryota; Metazoa; Chordata; Actinopteri; Salmoniformes; Salmonidae
Source: Rfam
UACACGCAUGAAUGUAAGUCGAUUUAGAUAAAAGCGUCUGCUAAAUGGCAUAAA